This 519-nucleotide ribosomal RNA is filed under the name uncultured bacterium. RNAcentral describes it as "bacterial SSU rRNA". It matches the Rfam family "Bacterial small subunit ribosomal RNA", at positions 27 to 518 of the family's 1533-position model. The record is from RNAcentral.
GGACGAACGCUGGCGGCGUGCCUAAUACAUGCAAGUCGAACGGCUUUUCUAUGGAAGCUUGCUUCCACUGAGAAGAUAGUGGCGAACGGGUGAGUAACACGUGGGUAACCUGCCCAUAAGAGGGGGAUAACAUCCGGAAACGGGUGCUAAUACCGCAUAGUUUUCUUGAUCGCAUGAUUGAGAAAGGAAAGACGGCCUUUGUGCUGUCGCUUAUGGAUGGACCCGCGGCGUAUUAGUUAGUUGGUGAGGUAACGGCUCACCAAGACGAUGAUACGUAGCCGACCUGAGAGGGUGAUCGGCCACAUUGGGACUGAGACACGGCCCAAACUCCUACGGGAGGCAGCAGUAGGGAAUCUUCCGCAAUGGACGAAAGUCUGACGGAGCAACGCCGCGUGAGUGAAGAAAAGGUUUUCGGAUCGUAAAACUCUGUUGUCAGAGAAGAACAAGUUGGAGAGUAACUGCUCCAGCCUUGACGGUAUCUGACCAGAAAGCCACGGCUAACUACGUGCCAGCAGCCGC